Molecule: ribosomal RNA, 497 nt
Filed under: uncultured bacterium
Lineage: Bacteria
Description: partial 16S ribosomal RNA
Rfam family: Bacterial small subunit ribosomal RNA
Source: RNAcentral
GAUGAACGCUGGCGGCGUGCCUAAUACAUGCAAGUCGAGCGAACAGACGAGGAGCUUGCUCCUCUGACGUUAGCGGCGGACGGGUGAGUAACACGUGGAUAACCUACCUAUAAGACUGGGAUAACUUCGGGAAACCGGAGCUAAUACCGGAUAAUAUAUUGAACCGCAUGGUUCAAUAGUGAAAGACGGUUUUGCUGUCACUUAUAGAUGGAUCCGCGCCGCAUUAGCUAGUUGGUAAGGUAACGGCUUACCAAGGCAACGAUGCGUAGCCGACCUGAGAGGGUGGACCGCCCCCAUGGAACCGAGACACCGUCCCAACUCCCAAGGGAGGGCGCAGGUGGGAAUUCUCCCGCAUUGGGCGAAAGCUUACGGGGGAACCGCCGGGUGGGGAAUAAAGGUCUUCGGUCGGUAAACUCUGUUAUUAGGGAAGAACAAAUGUGUAAGUAACUAUGCACGUCUUGACGGUACCUAAUCAGAAAGCCACGGCUAACUACGUG